UUAUCGAGUUUUGAACGGGUUGUAGCUGGCCUCUCACGAGGCAUGUGCACGCCUGGCUCAUCCACUCUUAACCUCUGUGCACUUUAUGUAAGAGAAAAAAAUGGUGGAAGCUUCCAGGAUCUCGCGAGAGGUCUUCGGUUGAACAAGCCGUUUUUCUUUCUUAUGUUUUACUACAAACGCUUCAGUUAUAGAAUGUCAACUGUGUAUAACACAUUUAUAUACAACUUUCAGCAACGGAUCUCUUGGCUCUCGCAUCGAUGAAGAACGCAGCGAAAUGCGAUAAGUAAUGUGAAUUGCAGAAUUCAGUGAAUCAUCGAAUCUUUGAACGCACCUUGCACUCCUUGGUAUUCCGAGGAGUAUGCCUGUUUGAGUCUCAUGGUACUCUCAACCCCUAAAUUUUUGUAAUGAAGGUUUAGCGGGCUUGGACUUGGAGGUUGUGUCGGCCCUUGUCGGUCGACUCCUCUGAAAUGCAUUAGCGUGAAUCUUACGGAUCGCCUUCAGUGUGAUAAUUAUCUGCGCUGUGGUGUUGAAGUAUUUAUGGUGUUCAUGCUUCGAACCGUCUCCUUGCCGAGACAAUCAUUUGACAAUCUGAGCUCAAAUCAGGUAGGACUACCCGCUGAACUUAAGCAUAUCAAUAAGCGGAGGAAAAGAAACUAACAAGGAUUCCCCUAGUAACUGCGAGUGAAGCGGGAAAAGCUCAAUUUAAAAUCUGGCGGCUUUGGUCGUCCGAGUUGUAUUCUAGAGAAGUGUUUUCCGCGUUGGACCG
This 766-nucleotide ribosomal RNA is filed under the name fungal endophyte. RNAcentral's name for it is "eukaryotic LSU rRNA". The stretch from base 223 to 376 matches the Rfam family "5.8S ribosomal RNA". The record is from RNAcentral. Lineage: Eukaryota; Fungi.